UCAAUAAUAUUUACUCCUAAAGCACUGAGUGGAGGAACAAACACUGGCAGCUUGCAGAUCUCGACGUUAACAGCAAAUUUUACCUUUAUUCAGCAUUCUUCGAUCCAGAAACAGAUGGUCAGACCUCUAUCAGGCUUCUUGGUGUAUAUAGAAGCAGAUUUCCAGCCUUUGCUUGGUGCCAUGUUUGGUUCAGCCCAGAGGCUCCACCACUCCUUGUGAAAGUAACCAACAAAGACUACCUUGACUAUCAAAGCAGAAGCAGUGGCCGUCAGAUGCCCUUCCUGCUAAGGUGCCCACUGCCACCAAAUACAACAGAUAUCCCUUUCGCCGUCUCCCUCACCGCAAAGCCCUGUGGAGAAGCCACCAAUCUGUUGAAGGUGUGGAGCGACUUACAUGUGACAUAUUUGUUUGCACGUGUGUGUGUGUGUGUGUGUGUGUGUGUGUGUGUGUGUGUGUGUGUGUGUGUGUGUGUGUGUAUUGUGAGCCUCGGGAAGACAGUAGUUGUGUGAUGAACUGAUAGGCAGCAUGUGUAACUGAGCAGCUACAUAUGAUGAGAUGUAUCUGCUUGGUAUAUGUUUUGCAUGAUACUUUCAGUGCCUUACACGUAAGUGGAAACUUUACCAGUGAAGUAGAACUUAAUAUGACAUAUAAGGUUAAGGAUCGGUAGACCGCAGAUUUUUGAUGGGAGAUUUGCGGCUGUGACGGACAGAUGCGAUAUUUAGGCUGGAGAGUACGGAGGCCUCCUAUCGACUCUGUGCCCAGGCAGAAUGAAGCAGCGAAUCAUAUAUCUUAUAACUAUACCUAACACAGUUAUGUGAGUAGGCGGUCUGGACUACGGUGAUCACUUGUACUUUAGUGUCAUGUGUCAUAGUUUGUGGAGAAGAACUACACCUAGCGGCGACCAGCCAUGGAGGGAAUGACUUACAUGAGGGCAUCCAAACGCAAAACAUGAAAAAAAAACUUUCGGCAGAGGACUUAGAAAGCCACAUUUCUUCCAAAAUAUCCGUCGGCUAGGAAGUUUCACGUGUUAGUCUUUGUAUUGACCGAUGCCAAGCACUGUUCCCGUCUAUGCGCACGUUUAUGUGUCCUACAUAAACAUUGUAUUGCUUGCAUUUGGAAGCCAUUUUUUUUUUGAUAAGAUAUAAAAGUCAGGAAAAUAGUAAUUACAUAUUUUUUCUUUUUCCCCAAAAAAA
Molecule: long non-coding RNA, 1193 nt
Organism: Eriocheir sinensis (Chinese mitten crab)
Lineage: Eukaryota; Metazoa; Arthropoda; Malacostraca; Decapoda; Varunidae
Exons: 3
Source: RefSeq, a predicted model, not a curated record